RNAcentral lists this ribosomal RNA (404 nucleotides) under uncultured Glomeromycotina. Its description in RNAcentral is "SSU rRNA". It matches the Rfam family "Eukaryotic small subunit ribosomal RNA", at positions 569 to 970 of the family's 1831-position model. Lineage: Eukaryota; Fungi; Glomeromycota. The record is from RNAcentral.
AGCAGCCGCGGUAAAUUCCAGCUCCAAUAGCGUAUAUUAAAGUUGUUGCAGUUAAAAAGCUCGUAGUUGAAUUUCGGGAUUGACACAUCGGUCGUGCCUUAAGGGGUAUGAACUGGUGUAGUCAAUUUCUCACCUUCUGGAGAACCGCAAUGCCCUUAAUUGGGUGUCGCGGGGAACCAGGACCUUUACUUUGAAAAAAUUAGAGUGUUUAAAGCAGGCAUUUUGCUUGAAUACAUUAGCAUGGAAUAAUAAAAUAGGACGGCAUGAUUCUAUUUUGUUGGUUUCUAGGAUCACCGUAAUGAUUAAUAGGGAUAGUUGGGGGCAUUAGUAUUCAAUUGUCAGAGGUGAAAUUCUUGGAUUUAUUGAAGACUAACUACUGCGAAAGCAUUUGCCAAGGAUGUUUU